GACUCAGUCCUUAAGUCAAGUGCUUAGGGAAGUGUAAUGCAAAUGAAGCAAAAGAUAUUAUAGCUCUAUUUCAUGCAUUAUUUUUCUUCAGCCUGCUGAAAACAGAAUUCUUACAAUGUAGUCAAUGGAAAAACUCUGCAGAGCAACAUACUGCUUAGCAGGGUUUAAAUGUUCUGUUCUUAGUGGGCAUGAUGAAGUCGAUGGAGGGUGUGAGACCCUGGUGUGGCUCUGGGAUAACAGUGAAACCUUGGUGGGACUUCAGGGCAACGGAAGAAUGCCUCAGACAACACUGAUUGUUUUCCAGAUAGCAGGAAAAUGCAAUGUCAGCUUAAAAAAGCCUGAAACAAGAAGUGAGAAAGGGACAAAAAAGCAGUAUUCAGCAUGCUCAAUUGAAGAAUGGUUUUGUAUAUGACUACUUUACAUCCUCUCUUUGAAAGCUGUUCCUUAUGAUGUGUAAAAGCCCAGAUGAAAGCAACAACAGAACCAUGAAGUAUCCACAUUUUAAGAGGGCUACAUCUGGAGGCAGAUGGUCCCUGUUGGUUGCUCCCAUUCCAUGUACAAGAAACUUCCUUGGUGCUGGUCAUCUUGCAAAAUGACACAACUCUGGCAUACUGAGGAUCCUAAAAAUCCCUCUCCCUUUUCUGUGGCUCUAAAAUCACACCUGGAAAUCAGAAUGUAUGUUUGGAAAAACUACCAUACCUUGCCAGUGUAUUUUCAAGGAGUUUAUGACACCAGAGUUGCAAGUUUUUCUUUGGUUUUAAGUUUGUUUCCUGGUAGUGUUGAAUUCUAUAAUGUUUCGGGACUAAAUUAUUUGAGAUGGUGGCCUCAUUUCCUUCUUGAUUAGUGCUUUGGACACAAAAGCUCAUCAUUAAAGAAGACAACAGAUAACUGGCUUUUCACUGCAAGGGAAUUUUGUGGAUGGAAUCUGCUUUUCUCUCUGGCCCAAAAUAAUUCAAAUCAAUUGACCCUUAGUUCCAUUUCUUUCUUUUAAUCUAAGCUUUUGGGAAGGAAUAGAAAGAUUGGUAUUUGAGAGUAGAGAGUAAUUUGAAUUCCAUUUGACUGCUGAUUUGUCAUAAUUUUUUGGUGCUGAUGAAAAGCUCUUGAAUGUUUUUAAAAACCAUGUCAAGGAUACAGAGAAAUGAUUGUAUCCAGUAUCUUAGUUUAAUAUACUAAGAAUAAUUAAAUUUUGUAUUUUGUGCUUGAUCUUUACUUUACAAAAACAACGUUCCUUAAAAAUCUUCCUUCAAUACAGGUUGAAAAUAAAUGAAAACUCACAUUGCAAGCUUAGUGCAAUUUAGAAAUUUAAUUGAUUUCCUAUAUGAGAAGAAUGUUGUAUUAUUUCUUGAAUACACAAACCAGGUUUUCUAUAGUUAGAGGUGUUUUCUGCUAGAACACGAAUUAGCUAUGAUUUCCUUUAGGUCCAUCAGCAUCAUUAGCAGGGCCACUGUUUCCAUAGUUUUAAAAGGAUACAAGAACCAGCGAGGAACAGUUUGCUUGUGCACUACAAAAAAUAAUAUUUGUACUCAUGCAAUUUUCUUUCGCAUGGCUUUCCUGUUCCCCUCUAUCCAGUUAUUUUUUCUCUAAAAAAAAUUAAAUAUCUUUUCUUCUG
Long non-coding RNA from Strigops habroptila (Kakapo), 1609 nucleotides. RefSeq lists it as uncharacterized. The transcript is spliced from 4 exons. The record is from RefSeq and is a predicted model, not a curated record. Lineage: Eukaryota; Metazoa; Chordata; Aves; Psittaciformes; Psittacidae.